This 72-nucleotide transfer RNA is filed under the name Kluyveromyces lactis. RNAcentral's name for it is "tRNA-Pro (AGG) (tRNA-Pro-AGG-1-1)". It matches the Rfam family "tRNA". Rfam says of the family: Transfer RNA (tRNA) molecules are approximately 80 nucleotides in length. Their secondary structure includes four short double-helical elements and three loops (D, anti-codon, and T loops). Further hydrogen bonds mediate the characteristic L-shaped molecular structure. tRNAs have two regions of fundamental functional importance: the anti-codon, which is responsible for specific mRNA codon recognition, and the 3' end, to which the tRNAs corresponding amino acid is attached (by aminoacyl-tRNA synthetases). tRNAs cope with the degeneracy of the genetic code in two manners: having more than one tRNA (with a specific anti-codon) for a particular amino acid; and 'wobble' base-pairing, i.e. permitting non-standard base-pairing at the 3rd anti-codon position. The record is from Rfam by way of RNAcentral. Lineage: Eukaryota; Fungi; Ascomycota; Saccharomycetes; Saccharomycetales; Saccharomycetaceae.
GGCUUCGUGGUCUAGAGGUAUGAUUUCCGCUUAGGGUGCGGGAGGUCCCGGGUUCGAUUCCCGGCGGAGCCC